UAUUUAAAAGCCAAACAGCCCCACAAUGUCAGACAUUGCUGGAUGGCUGCAGCAGCUGUACACACUCUACACUGCUUGUGUUUUCUUCCCAUCUUCCGAUCCCUCUACUGACCUCUCUGGCCACUUUUUGUCAUUACAGGUAAAAAUAUAUAUAUAUACAAUCAAUAAACUUUUACGCUGUGACACUUCGGGCCAAAGGUCUUGCUACGCUGUGAUUGAUAUUAGAUGCCAGUCCUCACUCCUCUCCUUACCAUCUGAGGCUUGCCAUGCGUCCCGAUUGCGAUGUCCUUUUAAGGGGUGUGCUGAGCCGUUGAAACUUCUCGGGUGAAAAGUUGUCUGUUACACUUUCUGACUCCACACAUACUUC
This is a long non-coding RNA of Rana temporaria (common frog), 367 nucleotides long. RefSeq lists it as uncharacterized. The record is from RefSeq and is a predicted model, not a curated record. NCBI's taxonomy places the organism in Eukaryota, Metazoa, Chordata, Amphibia, Anura, Ranidae. The transcript is spliced from 4 exons.